UUGGAGGGCAAGUCUGGUGCCAGCAGCCGCGGUAAUUCCAGCUCCAAUAGCGUAUAUUAAAGUUGUUGCAGUUAAAAAGCUCGUAGUUGAAUUUCGGGAUCAAUAUUUCGGUCAUGCCGUUGGUAUGCACUGUUAUAAUUGAUUUCUCACCUUCUAAAGAACCGUAAUGCCAUUAAUUUGGUGUUACGGGGAAUUAGGACUGUUACCUUGAAAAAAUUAGAGUGUUUAAAGCAGGCUCACGCUUGAAUACAUUAGCAUGGAAUAAUGAAAUAGGACAUCCGAUUCUAUUUUGUUGGUUUCUAGGAUCGAUGUAAUGAUUAAUAGGGAUAGUUGGGGGCAUUAGUAUUCAAUUGUCAGAGGUGAAAUUCUUGGAUUUAUUGAAGACUAACUACUGCGAAAGCAUUUGCCAAGGAUGUUUUCAUUAAUCAAGAACGAAAGUUAGGGGAUCGAAGACGAUCAGAUACCGUCGUAGUCUUAACCAUAAACUAUGCCGACUAGGGAUCGGAUGAUGUUAAUUUUUUAAUGACUCAUUCGGCGCCUUACGGGAAAC
This 550-nucleotide ribosomal RNA is filed under the name uncultured Glomus. RNAcentral describes it as "SSU rRNA". It matches the Rfam family "Eukaryotic small subunit ribosomal RNA", at positions 548 to 1098 of the family's 1831-position model. Lineage: Eukaryota; Fungi; Glomeromycota; Glomeromycetes; Glomerales; Glomeraceae. The record is from RNAcentral.